This 75-nucleotide transfer RNA is filed under the name Oscillospiraceae bacterium. RNAcentral's name for it is "tRNA-Arg". It matches the Rfam family "tRNA". Rfam says of the family: Transfer RNA (tRNA) molecules are approximately 80 nucleotides in length. Their secondary structure includes four short double-helical elements and three loops (D, anti-codon, and T loops). RNAcentral also lists the same sequence under 2 other names. Lineage: Bacteria; Bacillati; Bacillota; Clostridia; Eubacteriales; Oscillospiraceae. The record is from RNAcentral.
CUGUCCGUAGCUCAGUGGAUAGAGCAAUACGCUCCGACCGUAUGUGCGCAGGUUCAAUUCCUGUCGGACAGACCA